This 465-nucleotide ribosomal RNA is filed under the name Vreelandella stevensii. RNAcentral's name for it is "partial 16S ribosomal RNA". It matches the Rfam family "Bacterial small subunit ribosomal RNA", at positions 338 to 795 of the family's 1533-position model. Lineage: Bacteria; Pseudomonadati; Pseudomonadota; Gammaproteobacteria; Oceanospirillales; Halomonadaceae. The record is from RNAcentral.
CCUACGGGGUGCUGCAGUGGGGAAUAUUGGACAAUGGGCGAAAGCCUGAUCCAGCCAUGCCGCGUGUGUGAAGAAGGCCUUCGGGUUGUAAAGCACUUUCAGUGGGGAAGAAAGCCUUGGGGCUAAUACCCUCGAGGAAGGACAUCACCCACAGAAGAAGCACCGGCUAACUCCGUGCCAGCAGCCGCGGUAAUACGGAGGGUGCGAGCGUUAAUCGGAAUUACUGGGCGUAAAGCGCGCGUAGGCGGUCUGAUAAGCCGGUUGUGAAAGCCCCGGGCUCAACCUGGGAACGGCAUCCGGAACUGUCAGGCUAGAGUGCAGGAGAGGAAGGUAGAAUUCCCGGUGUAGCGGUGAAAUGCGUAGAGAUCGGGAGGAAUACCAGUGGCGAAGGCGGCCUUCUGGACUGACUCUGACGCUGAGGUGCGAAAGCGUGGGUAGCAAACAGGAUUAGAUACCCCGGUAGUC